Molecule: long non-coding RNA, 2882 nt
Organism: Panicum virgatum (switchgrass)
Lineage: Eukaryota; Viridiplantae; Streptophyta; Magnoliopsida; Poales; Poaceae
Exons: 2
Source: RefSeq, a predicted model, not a curated record
CAGUGAGCACGAUCUUAUCACUUCUCCGGCACCCUAUCCUCUCCCGAGCGCCCUCUGUUCUCCUUCCCCUCUUUUCUUCUUCCUCGAGCAGAGCCGACCGAGCUCGAGCAGCUGCGCCUGCCGGCCGCAUGCGCCCACCACCAGCCACCAUCCUCAAAUCACCACCACUCGCGCCUUUCUCGCCUCACCCCGCACCUCCGCCGCGCCUCCACGAGCCCGACCGAGCCCUACCCUGAUCGGAAUCGAAGCCGCACGGCCGGCCACCAUGGAAGCUCUGACCGACGCUCCGGGCGCACGUCGAUCCCCUCCCUUCGGCCACUUCUCAGGUGAUUCGAGCCCGCUGUGAGCUCCGCGGUGUCGUCCUCAUCCUCCCAGGCCUCUUCACCGACCUCUACAGGCCACCCCCUCGCCGGAAUCAGCUUGCCCUCACACCUCGAGCUGCUGCAUCGCCGCUGGCGCCGUCCCGACCACCUGGGCCUCAGGUUCUUUCUACAAACCGGUCGCAGUUCACGUGAGGGACGUCGUGCAACAAUUCAACCAAGUCCAGGGGUCUUUUUGCGAAGUUAUAGACUCAGAUGAAUAGUGCCACACUGGACCUUUUUGAGAUUUUAGCUGUAAGCUUUGAAAAUUCUUAAAAAAUAGUAGAAAAAUGUUUAAAAUGCAAAACUUAUUUUGUUAGCUUCAUAUUUUAAUGCUCUAUAUGAUAGAAUACUGAAAUGUGUUGUUUGACCACUUUUUCUAUGCCGUUUUAUUUAUGCUAGAUAAAUGCUUUUAUAGCUUGUUAAUUGCAUAAAUGGAGUUAGGAGUAUGAAAAAAAUAUAAAACCAGUUGGGUUAGCUUUAUUUUGGCAUGUAAAACCUAGUAAAAAUAUUUAACCUGUUGUUUGUUUAAUGUUUUUAUGAUGUAUUGAUUUAAUCAUGAGUAAUGCUUGUUUUAAAUUUUUUAUUUAAUAUUUGCAGUUCUGGAAGUCAAAAAAUUAUGAAAUUUAUGCAGUAGCUUACACUUUACAUGCUUAGUUCACUGUAAAAAUUUCAUGUCCAGAAGCUAUGUGCAUGUUUGUAAAUCUGUUUUUGUUCAGUUUGUCUUGCUAAGGCUAAAAUAAAUAGUUGCUUUGUUCGUAAAUGUUGAUAAAUGUUGAUAAAUUUUUUGUUACACUCUUCACCAAUAUCUUAUCAUGCCAGUUAAUUUUUGUUACUAAAACAUGGCUGCAUGUUAAGUUUUGUAUUUGUUUAGUUUCCAGCUAUAGUUUUCACUUUCCAAAAGCAUUGCUAAGCAUUUCUUUUAUGCAUGAUUCAAUCCAGCAAGUUAUGCCAUUUUUUUUGGGUGAAUCAUGUUAACUUUUGUUGAUUAGAAGGUUUGGCUAAUUCCUGUUUGCUGAAUACUUGCAAUGGUCUAAUUCAAGUUAAUUUGUGUGGCAUGCUUGAUGUGCUUGCCAUCUUCUAUGAGAUGUUUGAGUGAUGGUUAAGUUAAAUAGCUCUAGGUGCUUAUGCUAGUGGGUUGUAUUUUUAUGAAUGCUUUGCAUGUUGCACUUCCAUGCAUUCAUACAUAUGCAUUGUUGCAUCUCAUUUAGGUACAAUAGAUGAACCAUGUGAAGGACGUGCUGUUGGAGCCGAACCCGAAGACCAUGUGAAGUACGAUAGAUGAACCAGCAAAUAUCAUCUAACUAACAAUGAUUUAGCAUUACCCCAGGCAAGCCCCGGAGCAUAACCCUUAAUUUCAGUAUUCAAUGUUUAUCUAAGUAUUUGUGCAUUUACGUUCUAGGAGUUGUAUGAAACCCUAGUAUGCAUGUCUCUCCCUAGGUAUCUAUGAGUCUCUACUGGUAUACUGGUGUCGUUAGAAAUGCUUUGCUAAAUAGGAACUCGGUAGAAGUCGAGUGAUUCCUGUCACUCGCGAGAUAUAGGAUCUUAAUACUUAUGGCAAAGUGGUUUGAGAACAAACCUUUGAGGAAAGAAAAGUGUAGAGCGGGCGGAGAUGAAUUGGAGUAUGGAUCUGGAAGGAGUGUAAAGUAAGCCUCCGCCUGUGUCGAUUGAGGAUCAUACUGUUGUUGGCAGUGUUGACCGAGUUUGCACAGUACUAACCACAUGCCGGAAGUAAGAGGUAGUCGAAACCGGUAAGCUAAUUACCUGAUUUGCAACGAUACUUUGAACUAUGACCUGCUACUCUGGGAGUGGUAUGAUGGCGGGUGAUGGAAUGUAUGUCGCCUUCGGGUUCUCUGAGAGUUCGCCGUGAGGGGCUCAUUCACCCGAGUUUUGGCAGGCGUGGUUCAGACGUCAGGGUAAUGAUGGAAACAGUUGACAUAUGUGGUCCGGCGUGGUUGCACGUGUCGUGUGAGUUAGGUCCACCUUGCAAGGUUAAAUCGGAUCAAUUCGCCAUCUCUCUCGGAUAAGAGAACCUUGGUCACUUUGUCACAUCGUUGUAAAAGUUUGAGAUAAGAAUGGAAAUGUGAGCAUAUGAGAUGUCUGUGGUUUUCUGAAAAGAUAAUGUGAUCAACCAUGCGUGCUUUAGAUGUUCAGGCAAAUCUAGUUGGUACUUGAUAAACUUAAAUUGAGCUAAAAUAUUGAAAAUAAGGAUCCAAUUUUUAGUAGCUUUUUAGCAAAUAAACUCCAGAGAGCCGGAGGCCUUGCAUGUCUAGGAGUCGGCUAAGUAUAUACCAUAGUCCGGUAAGACUUGCUUAUUGCAGGUAGCUGCUGUUGGUUGAAGCUGAUUAGGAUUCACAUCGGUGGGCUCGAUGUGACAUCCUCACAUCUUCGUAGUAAAGUGAUUUUUAAAUCAAACUUCUAUUUAGUUUCCGCUGCAUUUUGAACUCUGAUAUUUUACGUAAACUUGUUUGUAAAAUUUUGCAUUGUAAAUUAAAUUUGAGAAUUUUUUUUGUCUUCUUAUAA